CAUCUCUUUCCCACGGUUUUCUGUUGCCAGUGAGGUCACUGGUCCCUUUAAACUGCAGCAGGGACCAAUCAGGGAGCCCGGGGGAGGGCUGUAGGGGCUGGGGGGGGGGGGGGAAAAGGGCCGGAAGAACCCUUCACACGGACGUCUGUUCCCUUUUCAGGAAGAUUCAGGAUUCCCCCCCCCCCCCCCCCCGCCAAUCUCCCCAGCAGCAGAAGAGAGGGAGGGAGAGAGAGCAACCUAAGUAAGCCGGAGAGCUAGGGGUGGGGGCCUCCUUCACCUUAGAGAGGCUGGGAGGAGCAGCUCAGGUCCGCACUCAUUCACACCUCCUCGAGCGGCAGAUUUGUGGCUGCUGGCCAUGAAGAGGCUGGGAGAAGAGAGCCCGUCCGACACCGAGUCUGAUGGGACCAUAGAUGUGGGCAAAGAGGAAUACAGAUACUAGAGAGGUUUGCUCUUUUCCUCUCCAGCUCAUUUAACAGAUGAGGAAACUGAGGCACACAGGGUUAAGUGACUUGCUCAGGGUCACACAGCUGCCAGAUCUCCAGGGCUCACUCCCCCACCACUACAUCCCAGAUGCAAGCCAGGAAAAAGAGGAGAGGGGUGAGUGGUCUCUGCACCUUCUCCUAGGGUCUGCUGUGGUCCCUGGGGAACCCUGGAUCCCUCUGUAGGCAUUUGGUAGCUCAUUACCUGCUUUACAGGGCAGGAAGACAGGUUCUUAAUCACAGGAAGCUCUAGAGGGAGGGGGCUUUAAUUAGAGGAAAUGAAGAGGUUGCCUUCAUUAGAGCUUCUCUUUACCCUGACGGUAAGAUGCUUGAAGGCAAUAUUAUUUCAUUUUGUCUUUGCCUCUUAACACGUAACACAUUGGGUGGCACACAGCAGGCACUUAAUAAAUGCUUCUUGAUUGAUCGAUUAAUUACCUAA
RNAcentral lists this long non-coding RNA (918 nucleotides) under Monodelphis domestica (gray short-tailed opossum). RNAcentral's name for it is "lncRNA (ENSMODG00000046718.1)". The record is from RNAcentral. Lineage: Eukaryota; Metazoa; Chordata; Mammalia; Didelphimorphia; Didelphidae.